AGCGAACGCUGGCGGCAGGCCUAACACAUGCAAGUCGAGCGCCCCGCAAGGGGAGCGGCAGACGGGAGAGUAACACGUGGGAACGUACCCUUCAGUUCGGAACAACCAAGGGAAACUUUGGCUAAUACCGAAUACGUCCGUAAGGAGAAAGAUUUAUCGCUGAAGGAUCGGCCCGCGUCUGAUUAGCUAGUUGGUGAGGUAACGGCUCACCAAGGCGACGAUCAGUAGCUGGUCUGAGAGGAUGAUCAGCCUCACUGGGACUGAGACACGGCCCAGACUCCUACGGGAGGCAGCAGUGGGGAAUAUUGGACAAUGGGCGCAAGCCUGAUCCAGCCAUGCCGCGUGGAUGAUGAAGGCCCUAGGGUUGUAAAGUCCUUUCGGCGGGGAAGAUAAUGACGGACCCGCA
This 406-nucleotide ribosomal RNA is filed under the name Bradyrhizobiaceae bacterium Ellin7134. RNAcentral describes it as "bacterial SSU rRNA". It matches the Rfam family "Bacterial small subunit ribosomal RNA", at positions 29 to 464 of the family's 1533-position model. Lineage: Bacteria; Pseudomonadati; Pseudomonadota; Alphaproteobacteria; Hyphomicrobiales; Nitrobacteraceae. The record is from RNAcentral.